CAUGUCGUCAAUUGAAAAGCGCCUUAUCUAAUUAUGGAGAUCAGUAAGGAACGGUAACGGUGAUAAGCCGUACACGAAUCCAUGAGAAGAAACAAUAAAACAAGCGAGAAUUGAUGAAAGCCUGCUACUUCAGCCAGCCACGUUAGCAAGCCAUGUUUUGUAUGCAUGCAUACAUUCACCUAUGGCAAAGCCUUUCUUUAAAACAACGUCGUUGCUCCCCAUAUUCUGCAUCCUCAUCUGCGGAAGGACCUGAUGCGUUCAGACGUUAAUCGAAGCGACACAGUGAACAAAAAUUAUGCAACCAUUACAGACGUUGGUGCUGGUAGUGUUUUUCAUAAUUUGGACGGAGCCUUUAGAUGGGUAUGGUUUUCGCCUUCUGAACAAAUACAGACGAUAGAUUUAGAUCGGUCAAAUCCAUGCGGCAAAAUUUUAGGCGUUUAUACUUGGUAUGACGAUGCGACAUACCGCACUCUUU
This is a long non-coding RNA of Dreissena polymorpha, 475 nucleotides long. RefSeq lists it as uncharacterized. The transcript has 4 exons. Lineage: Eukaryota; Metazoa; Mollusca; Bivalvia; Myida; Dreissenidae. The record is from RefSeq and is a predicted model, not a curated record.